RNAcentral lists this ribosomal RNA (420 nucleotides) under Chloroflexota bacterium. RNAcentral's name for it is "Chloroflexi bacterium partial 16S ribosomal RNA". It matches the Rfam family "Bacterial small subunit ribosomal RNA", at positions 355 to 776 of the family's 1533-position model. Lineage: Bacteria; Bacillati; Chloroflexota. The record is from RNAcentral.
UGGGGGAUAUUGCACAAUGGGCGAAAGCCUGAUGCAGCGACGCCGCGUGGGGGAUGAAGGCUUUCGGGUUGUAAACCUCUUUCGCUAUCGAACAAGGCCCGCUUAGGGUGGGUUGAGGGUAGGUGGAGAAGAAGCGCCGGCUAACUACGUGCCAGCAGCCGCGGUAAUACGUAGGGCGCGAGCGUUGUCCGGGAUUAUUGGGCGUAAAGGGCUUGUAGGCGGCUUGUUGCGCCUGCUGUGAAAACGCGGGGCUUAACUUCGCGCGUGCAGUGGGUACGGGCAGGCUUGAGUGUGGUAGGGGUGACUGGAAUUCCAGGUGUAGCGGUGGAAUGCGCAGAUAUCUGGAGGAACACCGAUGGAGAAGGCAGGUCACUGGGCCAUUACUGACGCUGAGGAGCGAAAGCAUGGGUAGCGAACAGG